ACUCACGCUGGCGGCGGGCUUCACCCCUUCCAGUCACACCGAAAGGCCUUUUCGGAGGUACUCGAGUGGCGAACGGGUGAGUAACACGUGAGUGAUCUGCCCUGCACUCUGGGAUAAGCCUGGGAAACUGGGUCUAAUACCGGAUAGGACCGCACUUUAGUGUGUGUGGUGGAAAGUUUUUUCGGUGUAGGAUGAGCCCGCGGCCUAUCGGCUUGUUGGUGGGGUAAUGGCUUACCAAGGCGGCGGCGGGUAGCCGGACUGAUAGGUUGGUCGGCCACAUUGGGACUGAGGUAAGGCCCAGACUCCGACGGGAGGGAGCAGUGGGGAAGAUUGCACAAGGGGCGCAAGCCUGAUGCAGAGACGCCGCGUGGGGGAUGACGGCCUUAGGGUUGUAAACUCCUUUCGCCAGGGACGAAGCGUUUUGUGACGGUACCUGGAGAAGAAGCACCGGCUAACUACGUG
Molecule: ribosomal RNA, 462 nt
Filed under: uncultured bacterium
Lineage: Bacteria
Description: partial 16S ribosomal RNA
Rfam family: Bacterial small subunit ribosomal RNA
Source: RNAcentral